GUCUGUUCUCUCUCCCUCCUCAGUACCAAGAACCAAGCACCACACACCACCAGCACCAAGAACCAAGCGCCUGGCCUAUUCCCCAAGUUCCAUGCGUAGCGCCGCUGCGCCGGCGCACGCAGCGGGGUGGUGCCCUCUGCCUGCCUCAUCGCUCUGGCCUCCAUCACCGCCAGCCUCAGCCUGUUGCGCAGCACAGCAUGCGAGCGGACUACGGCGAGGUGCGCACACUGCUUGCUGGGGCCAUAUGCAGCGGCAAGAAUGGGUACACGGCCGGGCUCCCGGAGUACUCGCACGCCAUGGCGGAUGGCUACAUUGGGCGCAAGGAACGCCGCCGAGCAGGAUUUGGAGUUCGGGUCAUGUCCAAUCCAAGCUGCCCUUGACUUUGUCCACGAUUCAAGCACCGCCGGCAGCUUAUAGGGAAAACCAUGCAGAGUGUCGACAUUCACAUGGUCAACAUCAGUGGUCAACCAUGUUUGCGUUAGCUGCACACUGGAAUCAACUACGGCAAACGAUGAUUGCGGCCACCAUCUUUAGGAUCAUUUGUUCACACUGUCUUUUUUGUGUAUAUUUAUUUGUAUAUGGUGGUGAAUACUUGUGACCAAGUGCUGGUCUUGUAUAAGUAAAAGAAUUCUAGGAUGAUUGUCUAAUAUAUAUAUUUAUUCUUUUGAAUGGUUUUCAUUUGUCAUCUACGUGUAUUUGGAUAACCUUUUAUGACAAUGUGGAGAUAUUUUCGUCACA
Long non-coding RNA from Panicum virgatum (switchgrass), 738 nucleotides. RefSeq lists it as uncharacterized. The transcript is spliced from 3 exons. Lineage: Eukaryota; Viridiplantae; Streptophyta; Magnoliopsida; Poales; Poaceae. The record is from RefSeq and is a predicted model, not a curated record.